AUGAACGCUAGCUACAGGCUUAACACAUGCAAGUCGAGGGGCUGCAUGGUCUUAGCUUGCUAAGGCCGAUGGCGACCGGCGCACGGGUGAGUAACACGUAUCCAACCUGCCGUCUACUCUUGGACAGCCUUCUGAAAGGAAGAUUAAUACAAGAUGGCAUCAUGAGUCCGCAUGUUCACAUGAUUAAAGGUAUUCCGGUAGACGAUGGGGAUGCGUUCCAUUAGAUAGUAGGCGGGGUAACGGCCCACCUAGUCUUCGAUGGAUAGGGGUUCUGAGAGGAAGGUCCCCCACAUUGGAACUGAGACACGGUCCAAACUCCUACGGGAGGCAGCAGUGAGGAAUAUUGGUCAAUGGGCGAGAGCCUGAACCAGCCAAGUAGCGUGAAGGAUGACUGCCCUAUGGGUUGUAAACUUCUUUUAUAAAGGAAUAAAGUCGGGUAUGCAUACCCGUUUGCAUGUACUUUAUGAAUAAGGAUCGGCUAACUCCGUGCCAGCAGCCGCGGUAAUACGGAGGAUCCGAGCGUUAUCCGGAUUUAUUGGGUUUAAAGGGAGCGUAGAUGGAUGUUUAAGUCAGUUGUGAAAGUUUGCGGCUCAACCGUAAAAUUGCAGUUGAUACUGGAUAUCUUGAGUGCAGUUGAGGCAGGCGGAAUUCGUGGUGUAGCGGUGAAAUGCUUAGAUAUCACGAAGAACUCCGAUUGCGAAGGCAGCCUGCUAAGCUGCAACUGACAUUGAGGCUCGAAAGUGUGGGUAUCAAACAGGAUUAGAUACCCUGGUAGUCCACACGGUAAACGAUGAAUACUCGCUGUUUGCGAUAUACGGCAAGCGGCCAAGCGAAAGCGUUAAGUAUUCCACCUGGGGAGUACGCCGGCAACGGUGAAACUCAAAGGAAUUGACGGGGGCCCGCACAAGCGGAGGAACAUGUGGUUUAAUUCGAUGAUACGCGAGGAACCUUACCCGGGCUUAAAUUGCAGAUGAAUUACGGUGAAAGCCGUAAGCCGCGAGGCAUCUGUGAAGGUGCUGCAUGGUUGUCGUCAGCUCGUGCCGUGAGGUGUCGGCUUAAGUGCCAUAACGAGCGCAACCCUUGUUGUCAGUUACUAACAGGUUCCGCUGAGGACUCUGACAAGACUGCCAUCGUAAGAUGUGAGGAAGGUGGGGAUGACGUCAAAUCAGCACGGCCCUUACGUCCGGGGCUACACACGUGUUACAAUGGGGGGUACAGAGGGCCGCUACCACGCGAGUGGAUGCCAAUCCCAAAAACCUCUCUCAGUUCGGACUGGAGUCUGCAACCCGACUCCACGAAGCUGGAUUCGCUAGUAAUCGCGCAUCAGCCACGGCGCGGUGAAUACGUUCCCGGGCCUUGUACACACCGCCCGUCAAGCCAUGGGAGCCGGGGGUACCUGAAGUGCGUAACCGCGAGGAG
This 1419-nucleotide ribosomal RNA is filed under the name uncultured organism. Its description in RNAcentral is "16S ribosomal RNA". It matches the Rfam family "Bacterial small subunit ribosomal RNA". The record is from RNAcentral.